CGCACAUUGCACCCUCUGGUAUUCCAGAGGGUAUGCCUGUUUGAGCGUCAUUUCUCUCUCAAUCUCACAAGGAUUGGUAUUGAGUGAUACUCUGCUUGCAGUGUUAACUUGAAAUAGUGUUUUUUUGUGGCCUGGAAGUGCUCUGUGUAGCCCUCCUGUCUGAGAUAAUGUAUUAGGUUCUACCAACUCGUUAUAGCAGCGGAGGAUGUCUCGCAGUGGUUCGUCUGCCCGAACAACCCCAUCUUAAAGUUUGACCUCAAAUCAGGUAGGACUACCCGCUGAACUUAA
RNAcentral lists this unclassified non-coding RNA (288 nucleotides) under Williopsis galapagoensis. RNAcentral's name for it is "Cyberlindnera galapagoensis partial contains 5.8S ribosomal RNA, internal transcribed spacer 2, and large subunit ribosomal RNA". Lineage: Eukaryota; Fungi; Ascomycota; Saccharomycetes; Phaffomycetales; Wickerhamomycetaceae. The record is from RNAcentral.